GGACAACCUGCCCUUAGGUUGGGUAUAAACCCGGGAAACUGGGUAUAAUACCCGAUAGGUCUCGAUUGCUGGAAUGCAUCGAGAUUUAAAGCUCCGGCGCCUAAGGAUGGGUCUGCGGCCUAUCAGGUAGUAGUGGGUGUAGCGUACCUACUAGCCUACGACGGGUACGGGUUGCGAGAGCAAGAGCCCGGAGAUGGAUUCUGAGACACGAAUCCAGGCCCUACGGGGUGCAGCAGGCGCGAAAACUUUACAAUGCUGGCAACAGCGAUAAGGGAACCUCGAGUGCCAGGUUACAAAUCUGGCUGUCGAGAUGCCUAAAGAGCAUUUCAUAGCAAGGGCCGGGCAAGACCGGUGCCAGCCGCCGCGGUAACACCGGCGGCUCGAGUGGUAACCGUUAUUAUUGGGUCUAAAGGGUCUGUAGCCGGCCGGAUAAGUCUCUUGAGAAAUCUGGCAGCUUAACUGUCAGGCUUUCAGGAGAUACUGUCUGGCUCGAGGCCGGGAGAGGUGAGAGGUACUUCAGGGGUAGGGGUGAAAUCUUGUAAUCCUUGAAGGACCACCAGUGGCGAAGGCGUCUCACCAGAACGGACCUGACGGCAAGGGACGAAAGCUAGGGGCACGAACCGGAUUAGAUACCCGGGUAGUCCUAGCCGUAAACGAUACUCGCUAGGUGUCGGCCACGGUGCGACCGUUGUCGGUGCCGUAGGGAAGCCGUGAAGCGAGCCACCUGGGAAGUACGGCCGCAAGGCUGAAACU
This 753-nucleotide ribosomal RNA is filed under the name uncultured Methanosaeta sp. RNAcentral's name for it is "bacterial SSU rRNA". It matches the Rfam family "Archaeal small subunit ribosomal RNA", at positions 102 to 856 of the family's 1478-position model. Lineage: Archaea; Methanobacteriati; Methanobacteriota; Methanomicrobia; Methanotrichales; Methanotrichaceae. The record is from RNAcentral.